UAUCUGUAAUGUCUUCCCUUUUAUAAAAAGGUUAGUGUAUUGUUGUGGUCAUUAAAAUAAAGACCUAAUGAUGUAGUUCAGCUAAAUUCACGACUCUUAAGGCAAUAGGACCUGGGAGAAUAUAACUGGUAAACGAGGCAGGCUACAGUCUCAUGAAAUAACCAACUUUAUCAGAGCUUCAGAUAAUGUAGGCUCUGAGGGUUGAGGAAGGUCAGCUCAGUAAGGUUGUCAUGAGCUCAAGCAACAUACAAUUCACAGUGACAAAACAAUGUCAGCCAUAAAGUCAUUGUGAUGGCUAUUUCUGUUUGUCAACUUGACUAUAUCUGGAAUUAAUUAAAAUCCGGAAAUGGAGGGCAAGCCUGUGAUCUAGAUCUUGAGACUGUAAGAAGACACAGGCUUCUGACCUGGAUCUUGACAUGGAGAUCUUGAGGACUAGUGACCUUAAAUAGCUUAGGCCCAAGCAAGGUAGCAC
Molecule: long non-coding RNA, 472 nt
Filed under: Androctonus crassicauda
Lineage: Eukaryota; Metazoa; Arthropoda; Arachnida; Scorpiones; Buthidae
Source: RNAcentral